AUUUCUACAACCUUUUGAUAAUUAUUCUCAACGUUUAGCCGCAUAAGGGCUAAAACCAACAACAACGCUUGGCCACUUCUAUCCCAAACAGUGCGAACUCUUUAAUAUCCAUUACUACUGAAAGCAGCAAGGCCCAUCGUCGAACAAAGCCGAAGUCUGCUUCUCUAAAAUUUUGGUAGGGCUUAUCGUAAAGCCGUCAUCGUUAACCAUCCUAAUAAGGGUGGGAUCUGUAAAGGGAGAGAAACAAGUUGAAGAAAAAAAUAUUGACUCUAAGAGUUGUAAAAGAAAAGAAAGAAAGAAAGAAAAAGUUUCUCAAGAAUAUACUAUGCAGUUUUUCUGAAAAAGUUUAGCAGGUUUGAGAACUUUUCAUUGUGUUCAAAAUGGAUAUAGGAAUCUGGUUUAUGGAAAGUGAUUCAAAUAUUUUAGUCGACUGCAUUGUGAAUAACAGUGAGUUUUCAUGGAGCAAAUCUAUGCUAGAAGUAAUGGACAAUUGGAUACUACCUCAAUGCUAUAGGGAAGGGAAUAGAAUUGCAGAUUAUCUUGCUAAUUGGGACUUGAACUGCUUAGAACUUACAUUGAUAUCCAACUUCCAGUUGCUUCCAAUUGAGGUUAAAGGGGAACUAAAUGUUGACAAAAUGCAGUUACAAUCUUUAGAACUAAACUCAUAAAAAACUUCUUAUAUGUGGAUAGGAACUUGUAUAGAGUUUUCUCUUUUUUUGUUGUGGAAGGUAACUGAGGAACUUGUAUAGAAUUUAUCCUUUUGAUGAUGUCACGUGACAGGAUUUUCUCUUUGUAUUGAAGAA
Solanum dulcamara is the source of this 803-nucleotide long non-coding RNA. RefSeq lists it as uncharacterized. NCBI's taxonomy places the organism in Eukaryota, Viridiplantae, Streptophyta, Magnoliopsida, Solanales, Solanaceae. The transcript has 4 exons. The record is from RefSeq and is a predicted model, not a curated record.